CUAUGUCGGCGACCGGCGCACGGGUGCGUAACGCGUAUGCAACCUACCCAUUACAGGGGGAUAACACUGAGAAAUCGGUACUAAUACCCCAUAACAUCCAGGGAGGCAUCUUCUUGGGUUGAAAACUCCGGUGGUAAUGGAUGGGCAUGCGUUGUAUUAGUUAGUUGGUGGGGUAACGGCUCACCAAGACAACGAUACAUAGGGGGACUGAGAGGUUAACCCCCACAUUGGUACUGAGACACGGACCAAACUCCUACGGGAGGCAGCAG
RNAcentral lists this ribosomal RNA (269 nucleotides) under uncultured bacterium. Its description in RNAcentral is "partial 16S ribosomal RNA". It matches the Rfam family "Bacterial small subunit ribosomal RNA", at positions 83 to 354 of the family's 1533-position model. The record is from RNAcentral.